Long non-coding RNA from Nycticebus coucang (slow loris), 3216 nucleotides. RefSeq lists it as uncharacterized. The transcript has 6 exons. Lineage: Eukaryota; Metazoa; Chordata; Mammalia; Primates; Lorisidae. The record is from RefSeq and is a predicted model, not a curated record.
CAUUAGGGCCGAAGGAUCUCGCGAGGCCGCGGGGUCUGUGUUGCUUCCGGAGCGGCUUCUGUGUUUGAAGGUUGCGGACGUCCAGUUGCUGUUCGGAUUUUGUUGGCUUGCUUUUGAUUUUUGGUGUGUCACGUGUACUGGGACUCAGCUCUGAGGAAAAAGUAAAGCAAACCCGAGAAGUAAGCAUCCUUGAGACUAACCAGGAGAAGGAAGAAAAUUUGCAGGCACUCUUUAAAGGCAGGCUCCCCCUGCCAGUCAGACCGUAAGCGGGGGACGGGGGGAGGUUUAAACCUUUUUCUAUAAAGACAAAGGAAUGUUGAGCCAUUUCAGCCGAUCCGAAAUACACCAAGACUUGUUAAGGAAUCGUAGGAGUGAACAGCCACCCACUGGACACUAAAAUCUGGCGAUUUUAACGUCCUACAGAAGUCUGUCGACAAUUUCCUAUUUCCCGCCAAGCCAUUUCACCGUCUGGGUCCCAGUAGUUGGCCAUUGAAAAGCAUACUUUACUCUUCCUGAGAAUGCAGUGCUCUUAACGUGUUUGCAACCUCGGGGAAUAAUUCUGCAGUUUCUCAGAAGUGGUGAAUUUUCUGCAAGACAAAGGAGCUGAUAUUCUGCAACCUGCCUUCUAUGCACUUAGCCUUUUGUUAGUUAUGCCACCACCUUAAGGCACAUGGCCCCGCCUUCAAAAGACCCUCAUCUCCCUUAGUUUGGGAGAAGGAUUUGAGGCAACUUCUUCCAUUCUCCUGACAAGAUGUCUUUGUAUUAAAAAAUUCCUUUCUUGGGUGGCGCCUGUGGCUCAGCGGGUAGGGUGCCGGCCCCAUAUGCCGAGGGUGGCGGGUUCAAACCCAGCCCCAGCCAAACUGCAACAAAAAACUAGCUGGGCGUUGUGGCGGGUGCCAGUAGUCCCAGCUACUUGGGAGGCUGAGUCAAGAGAAUCGCUUAAGCCCAAGGAUUUGGAGGUUGCUGUGAGCUGUGUGAGGCAACGGCACUCUACCGAGGGCAAUAAGGUAGGACUCUGUCUCUACAAAAAAAAAAAAAAAAAAGAAAUAAAAAAAUUCCUUUCUUUCUUGACAGUUCUCAUUGUGUUAAUAAUUGGAUCUUCAUGGGAGAAGAAACUAGACCUAGACCUAAAGCCUCUUUGCAGUUUUGAAAAUGUGUAUAUAUAAAUAUAUACUAUUUAUCUUUAAUUAAAAUACAAUCGUGCUGAUUUGGUGAAUGACAGACCAUAUAUAAGAUAGUGGUCUCAUAAGAUUAUAAUACUUUAUUUUUACCAUACCUUUUCUAUGUUUAGAUAUGUUUAGAUACAAAAAUAUUUACCAUUUUCUUUACAAUUGCCUGCAGUGUUGAGCAACAUGCUGUACAGAUGCAUAGCCUAGGAGUAAUAUGCUAUACUGUCCAGGUUUAUAUGCUUGCUUAUUCUCUGUGACACUGCUUCAUGCACACUUCACGCAACAUCUUGGCAUAGUCAGCAGAACGUGCUUCGUGAGGACAGCACAGGCCCGCUUCCUCGGGAUUGCCUUCUUGUUCGAGUGGUUGUUAGCUUAUGGUAAGCUUGGAGAUACCAAACUUUGGGUUCCAGACAAAAAUUUGAAAUUUCAACAUAGCCCCCUGGACACAUGCCCCAGCUGCAGAGGAACAAGUAAUGUCCCACCUGAUGAGACUAAGACUGACAGCAUCCUGGGAGGGAGAGACGAUCAACUCUACCUCAGACAAAGGAAGCACCCCCGAUGACUUGGGGGCAGGCUUGGGCCGAGUUCAAACCCACCAGCCCCAGUGCAUGUGGCCAGCGCCCUAACCAUGAGCUAUGGGCACUCAGCCCAGGUAACCACAGACAUUCUUGCCUGAUGAAAUACUUUGAAAAUAUCACCUUGCUCUGGCAAUCUCUUCUUGUCUUAUAUUCUUUUUUUUUGAGCCAGUUUCACUGUCACCCUUGGUAGAGUGCUAUGGUCACAGCUCACAGCAACCUCAAACUCUUGGGCUUAAGUGAUACUCUUGCCUUAAUCUCCCAGGUAAGUAGCUGGGACUACAGGCACCUGCCAUAGUGCUCAGCUAUUUUUUUGUUGCAGUUGUCAUUGUUGGUUAGCAGGCCCAGGCCAGGUUUGAACCUGCCAGCCUCUGUGCAUGUGGCCAGCACCCUAAGCACUGAGCUAUGAGUGCUGAGCCUGUCUUAAAUUCUUUAAUAAACUUUGCUUUCUAACUCUGGUGGAGAACAGGUACAAGAUUAAGGAGUAAAAAACUAUGUGAAAUUGGUUUAUAAAGUGAAAAGGAUGUCCUAUCUUUUAAACAUACAAUACCAAGUGAAAAAUAAGGCUUUCCUUUAUUUAUUUUUUUUUUUUUGAGGCAGUCUUGCUCUGUCCCCCUUGUAGAGUGCUGUGACAUCCUAGCUUAUAGCAACCUCAAGCUCCAAGUAGCUGGGACAAAGGUGCCCACCUAUUUUUAGAGACUGGGUCUUGCUCUUGCUCAGGCUAGUCUCAAACUCCUGAGCUCAAGUGAUCCACUUGUCUCUGGCUCUCAGAGUGCUAUGAUUACAGCCAUAAGCCCCAUGGCUGCCCUUGAAAAUGAAAUUGUUGAUCUGUCUAUCUACAAUUUUUCCGCAAUAGCUACAUUAUCUCCUUCCUCUACUUCAUUUAGGUCUCUGCUCACAUGUCAUCUACUUAGAGAAACUGUUGUGGAUCAUUUUAUCUAAAACAGUAACCUUUCUUUAUCAAUGGAUUUCCUUCCCUAGUUUUUCUUUAAAAUACCUAGCACUAAUUGACAUGUUGUAGAGUAAGUCCUCACUUAAUGUUGUCAAUAGGUACUUGGAAAUGGUGACUCUAAGCAAAAUGAUGUACAACAAAACCAAUUUUACCAUAAAUUAAUUAAUAUAAAAAAGAGUUAAGUUCCUGUAGUGUAUUUCUGGUCACAAAACAUAACUAAAUAAGGACCAAAACCCUUGUAAUAUUAAACACUGAAAUAAAUGUAAGCUAUACCUACAUUUAAGAAAGAUAAAUAAAAGAGGAGUUUCACAGUUCAGGGUCUUGGGAGCCUCUCAUAACUCUGGCUGGUAUGCCACUUCCAUCACAGGCCAUGUUCCCACAUACACCUACACUCUGACAGGGACCAUGUCGACAUGCCAAUUGACCUACUGUGUACACCUUUGGGAUGUGAAAAGAAACGAGAAAACCCAUGCGGACAAGAGAAGAACAUGCAAAUUCUACAAUGGCCUUGGCUGGGACU